This 488-nucleotide ribosomal RNA is filed under the name Halomonas sp. M19-C7. Its description in RNAcentral is "bacterial SSU rRNA". It matches the Rfam family "Bacterial small subunit ribosomal RNA", at positions 1 to 487 of the family's 1533-position model. Lineage: Bacteria; Pseudomonadati; Pseudomonadota; Gammaproteobacteria; Oceanospirillales; Halomonadaceae. The record is from RNAcentral.
UUGAGCUUGAAUCCUGGCUCAGAUUGAACGCUGGCGGCAGGCCUAACACAUGCAAGUCGAGCGGAAACGAUGGAAGCUUGCUUCCAGGCGUCGAGCGGCGGACGGGUGAGUAAUGCAUAGGAAUCUGCCCGAUAGUGGGGGAUAACGUGGGGAAACCCACGCUAAUACCGCAUACGUCCUACGGGAGAAAGCAGGGGAUCUUCGGACCUUGCGCUAUCGGAUGAGCCUAUGUCGGAUUAGCUAGUUGGUGAGGUAAUGGCUCACCAAGGCGACGAUCCGUAGCUGGUCUGAGAGGAUGAUCAGCCACACUGGGACUGAGACACGGCCCAGACUCCUACGGGAGGCAGCAGUGGGGAAUAUUGGACAAUGGGGGAAACCCUGAUCCAGCCAUGCCGCGUGUGUGAAGAAGGCCUUCGGGUUGUAAAGCACUUUCAGCGAGGAAGAAGGCCUGAGGGUUAAUACCCUUCAGGAAGGACUCCUCGCGAGAG